GGAAGUAGAAGUCGUAACAAGGUUUCCGUAGGUGAACCUGCGGAAGGAUCAUUAAAGAGUAAGGGUCCUCUAGGCCCGACCUCCCAACCCUUUGUUUACCAAACCAAUGUUGCUUCGGCGGGCCCGUCUUAGGACCGCCGGAGGACCGUCGAAACGUCCUCUGGCCCGCGCCCGUCGAUGGCCCUUAUUAUUAAACUCUGAACCAAACGUGUCCUGUCUGAGUGAUUAUUAUCAAAAUUAAAGCAAAAACUUUCAACAACGGAUCUCUUGGUUCUG
This 276-nucleotide unclassified non-coding RNA is filed under the name plant metagenome. RNAcentral's name for it is "partial contains small subunit ribosomal RNA, internal transcribed spacer 1, and 5.8S ribosomal RNA". The stretch from base 1 to 54 matches the Rfam family "Eukaryotic small subunit ribosomal RNA", at positions 1778 to 1831 of the family's 1831-position model. The record is from RNAcentral.